GAAACAUUUUCGAUUACAUCGACCAGCUCCCUUGACACUGUGAUCCAGCUGACUGUUGAGUAACAAGCACUCUACAGCGCUCGGUUUAACGCUUAAAUUAUUAAAAAUUUGCGGUUUAUAAAUACUUUUUACUUAUAACGACAAUUCGUGUUUAUUUCUUUUAUGUGACGUUCUUGUGGAACACAAAGUUGUCGAUGAAGUUGUAUUUAAGCGGCAAGGGCGGUUCAUUCAAGGUUUAUCAAAAAUAGCGUUCGCGGCAUGUUGCCAAAACAUUGCGAUGCCGCCCAUGUGCGUCUGUAGACGUUAGAACGAACACAGAACGCCCAUCGUCAGGCCAAUUCAGGAGAGGUUUAACACAGAGAAGAUACCACGCAUCGCAACCAAAUUUCGCCAUGACAGACUCAUCUUUUCAGCGGGUGUCCCGACCUUCAAACCGAACGCAUCACCGCUUCAUGGCAGAAAUGAGCAGGGUGGUGGGUGGUGGUACGUACUUACCCGUGCCGGCCAUUAAAAAUGUGUGACAGUGACAGUGUAAAACAAAUGAAAUACAUAUUUACAAUUAUGGUUUUUUUUUAACAGACUUCAAGAUAAUGUUCUGAUGAAUUCGGACCGUAUGUUUUUUUAUUGGUAUUCUAACUCCUUAUAAGUGAUAACAAUGCAGAACAAUGAUUCAAUCUAAGAAUAUUUUUUAUUAAUGUCAAUUAACUAUCGUACUUAUAUACGUGAAGAAAAUAAACAUUUUUGUAUUGGUAUUUUUCAGAAA
Molecule: long non-coding RNA, 763 nt
Organism: Bombyx mori (domestic silkworm)
Lineage: Eukaryota; Metazoa; Arthropoda; Insecta; Lepidoptera; Bombycidae
Exons: 2
Source: RefSeq, a predicted model, not a curated record